Molecule: ribosomal RNA, 413 nt
Filed under: uncultured bacterium
Lineage: Bacteria
Description: bacterial SSU rRNA
Rfam family: Bacterial small subunit ribosomal RNA
Source: RNAcentral
GUGCCAGCCGCCGCGGUAAUACGUAGGUGGCGAGCGUUGUCCGGAAUUACUGGGUGUAAAGGGCGUGUAGGCGGGGAAGCAAGUCAGAUGUGAAAUUCCGGGGCUCAACCUCGGCGUUGCAUCUGAAACUGUUUUUCUUGAGUGCUGGAGAGGAAAGCGGAAUUCCUAGUGUAGCGGUGAAAUGCGUAGAUAUUAGGAGGAACACCAGUGGCGAAGGCGGCUUUCUGGACAGUAACUGACGCUGAGGCGCGAAAGCGUGGGGAGCAAACAGGAUUAGAUACCCUGGUAGUCCACGCCGUAAACGAUGGAUACUAGGUGUAGGAGGUAUCGACCCCUUCUGUGCCGGAGUUAACACAAUAAGUAUCCCACCUGGGGAGUACGGCCGCAAGGUUGAAACUCAAAGAAAUUGACGG